This 556-nucleotide small RNA is filed under the name Pan troglodytes (chimpanzee). RNAcentral describes it as "processed transcript". The record is from RNAcentral. Lineage: Eukaryota; Metazoa; Chordata; Mammalia; Primates; Hominidae.
AUUGUCAGUCUUUGGGCUUCAUUCAGGGUUGGAUGUAAGAACAGCAUGAAUCAUGGGAAGGAAGGCGUGCCUCAUGAAGCCAAGAGCCGCUGCAGAUACUCCCACCAGUAUGACAACCGAGUGUAUACCUGCAAGGUAUGUGAUCGAAUGUCCUAACUGUGGCGUGGUCUAUCGUAGUCGGCAGUACUGGUUUGGAAACCAAGAUCCUGUGGAUACGGUGGUGCGGACAGAGAUUGUGCAUGUGUGGCCUGGAACUGAUGGGUUUCUGAAGGACAACAACAAUGCUGCCCAGCGCCUGUUGGACGGGAUGAACUUCAUGGCUCAGUCGGUGUCCGAGCUUAGCCUUGGACCCACCAAGGCUGUGACUUCCUGGCUGACAGACCAGAUCGCCCCUGCCUACUGGAGGCCCAACUCCCAGAUUCUGAGCUGCAACAAGUGUGCGACGUCCUUUAAAGAUAACGACACUAAGCAUCACUGCCGAGCCUGUGGGGAGGGCUUCUGUGACAGCUGUUCAUCAAAGACUCGGCCAGUGCCUGAGCGGGGCUGGGGCCCUGCG